ACUCUCCCUAAAGGCUUCAAC
RNAcentral lists this microRNA (21 nucleotides) under Manihot esculenta (cassava). RNAcentral's name for it is "mes-miR477j". Its record names the gene mes-miR477j. The record is from miRBase by way of RNAcentral. Lineage: Eukaryota; Viridiplantae; Streptophyta; Magnoliopsida; Malpighiales; Euphorbiaceae.